This 120-nucleotide ribosomal RNA is filed under the name Colobus angolensis palliatus. Lineage: Eukaryota; Metazoa; Chordata; Mammalia; Primates; Cercopithecidae. The record is from RNAcentral.
GUGUAUGGCCAUACCACCCUGAACAUGCCUGAUCUUGUCUGAUCUCGUGAAGCUAAGCAGGAUCUGGCCUGGUUAGUUCUUGGACGGGAGACCACUUGAGAAUUUCAGGUGCUGCAGGCC